RNAcentral lists this ribosomal RNA (3030 nucleotides) under Triticum aestivum (bread wheat). Its description in RNAcentral is "partial small subunit ribosomal RNA". The record is from RNAcentral. Lineage: Eukaryota; Viridiplantae; Streptophyta; Magnoliopsida; Poales; Poaceae.
AUGAAGCUCUUCGUGCUCGUAGCAUGGGCACUGUUGUUAUUGUCUCAUGGAUCUGGAAGCGUCAUUUGCGCCGUCCUCCAUGGGAACGAUACAGAUAUGCUGUCGCUUCUUGAUUUCAAGCGCGCAAUCACCGAAGAUCCGAAAGGGCUCUUGAGCACAUGGAACACCAGCAUUCAUUUCUGCAACUGGCAGGGUGUGAAGUGCAGCCUCACAGAGCAUGAGCGUGUUGCAGAGCUGGACCUGUCUGAGCAGAGUUUUGUCGGGGAAAUCUCUCCUUCCCUUGGAAACAUGUCAUAUCUUACUUAUCUUAACCUUUCCAGAAGCAAGUUCUCUGGUCAGAUACCACAUUUUGGCCGGCUGCGAGAGCUGGAGUUUCUUGACCUGAGUCACAACUCGCUACAAGGGAUUAUUCCAGUGACGCUCACAAACUGCUCCAACUUGAGGGCGUUAGACCUCUCAAGAAACUUAUUGGUGGGUGAAAUUCCCGCAGAAAUAUCCCUUCUCUCCAACCUGACACGCUUGUGGCUUUCUUAUAAUGAUCUUACCGGGGUCAUUCCACCAGGCCUUGGCAAUAUCACUUCUCUAGAACAUGUUAUUCUGAUGUAUAACCGGUUAGAGGGAGGCAUUCCUGAUGAGUUUGGGAAGUUGUCCAAGAUGUCAAACUUACUCCUUGGUGAAAACAAGCUAUCAGGUAGAGUCCCAAAGGCCAUUUUUAAUCUGUCUCUGCUAAAUCAAAUGGCGCUGGAGUUGAAUAUGCUAGUUGGUACUCUACCAUCUAACAUGGGUGAUGCUCUCCCUAACCUCCGACUUCUUACAUUGGGUGGUAACAUGCUGGAAGGUCUUAUCCCUGACUCAUUAGGCAAUGCAUCCGAGCUACAGCUGAUAAACUUAGCAUAUAAUCACGGGUUUAGAGGACGAGUCCCACCUUCUCUUGGUAAACUUCCGAAGCUCAGUAAGCUAGGUCUUGACACAAACAGUCUUGAAGCAAAUGACAGCUGGGGCUGGGAAUUCUUGGAUGCAUUGAGCAACUGCACUUCUCUAGAGAUGCUUUCACUCUAUGCAAAUCGGCUACAAGGAAACUUGCCAAAUUCUGUUGGCAACCUUUCGUCUAAUGUUAACAACCUCGUGUUUGGUAGGAAUAUGCUAUAUGGAUUAGUUCCGUCAAGCAUAGGAAAUCUCCAUAGACUAACUAAGCUAGGACUGGAGGAGAACAGUUUGACUGGUCCGAUUGAUGGAUGGGUUGGAAAUCUUGCUAAUUUGCAAGGUUUAUAUCUUCAACAGAACAAUUUCACCGGGCAGAUUCCAACUUCCAUUGGCAAUAACUCCAAGCUGUCAGAACUGUUUCUGGCAAAUAAUCAAUUCCACGGUCCCAUUCCAUCAAGUUUCGAAAACCUUCAGCAACUCUUGUAUUUAGACCUCAGCUAUAACAAUCUUCAAGAAAAUAUACCAAAAGAGCUUUUUAGUAUAGCCACAAUUGCCCAAUGUGCGCUAUCCCACAACAGUCUAGAAGGCCAAAUUCCUCACAUCAGUAAUCUUCAACAACUCAACUAUCUAGAUCUUUCAUCCAACAAGCUUACAGGGGAAAUUCCACCUACUUUGCGCACAUGCCAGCAAUCGCAAGCCAUCAAAUUGGACCGGAACUUCCUCUCGGGAAGCAUUCCCAUGUUUCUAGGGAGUCUGAACAGCUUGAUCGAGCUCAACCUUUCACAUAACAAUCUCUCAGGCUCUAUCCCAAUUGCUCUAAGCAAACUGCAACUUCUCACCCAGUUGGAUCUAUCCGACAAUCAUCUUGAAGGAGAAGUACCAGUAGAAGGAAUAUUCAAAAAUACAACAGCCAUUUCCCUGAAAGGCAAUUGGCGGCUUUGUGGAGGUGUGCUGGACCUACAUAUGCCUUCAUGCCCCGCUGCUUCUCAUAGAAGAUCUAGAUGGCAAUACUAUUUGGUGAGAGUAUUGGUCCCUAUAUUAGGCAUCUUGUUACUCAUAUUAGUAGUCUGCUUAUCCCUUCUCAGAAAGAGGAUGCUGAGGAUGCAGUUAUCGUUGCCUUCUUCCGAUGAGCAAUUCCCUAAAGUAUCUUAUAAGGAUCUACCACAGGCUACUGAGAACUUCACAGUAUAUAACUUGAUUGGGAGAGGAAGCUGCGGUUCAGUGUACAGAGCAAAGCUAAACCAAAAACAGAUGGUUGUGGCAGUGAAAGUUUUUGACCUUGACAUGCAAGGCGCGGAUAAAAGUUUCAUCUCAGAAUGUAAAGCACUGAGAAACAUUCGGCACCGUAAUCUUCUUCCAAUUCUGACUGCAUGCUCAACAAUUGAUAACCAAGGCCGGGAUUUCAAAGCUCUAGUCUACCAGUUCAUGCCCAACGGCAACCUGGACACUUGGCUGCACCCGGCAGGAGAUGGAAAAGCCCCAAAGCAACUGGACCUCUCUCAAAGAAUGAAAAUAGCUGUUGAUAUAGCCGAUGCAUUGCAAUAUAUACACCAUGACUGUGAGAAUCCUAUUGUUCACUGUGAUUUGAAGCCCAGCAAUAUCCUCCUAGAUUAUGAUAUGACAGCUCGUUUGGGGGACUUUGGCAUCGCAAGGUUGUACAUCAAAUCCAAAUCAGCGGCAGCUGGAGGUUCGAGUUCAAUGGGUACAAUAACUCUGAGGGGCACGAUUGGAUAUAUUGCUCCAGAGUAUGCGGGAGGUGGCUACCUAUCGACGUCUGGAGACGCGUACAGUUUUGGGAUAGUGCUGCUGGAGAUGCUGACAGGAAGAAGGCCGACCGACCCUAUGUUCUGCGAGGGGCUUGACAUCGUGAACUUUGUCAAGAGGAACUUUCCGGAUCAGAUACUUGAUAUCCUUGACGCUUCUCUCCGAGAAGAAUGUCAAGACUGUUCUCAGGAUAAUCUGGAAGGAGAAAACGAAGUCCACCGGUGCCUGCUGUCCUUGCUGAAAGUGGCACUUUCUUGCGCAAGCCAGGAUCCUAACGAACGAAUGAACAUGAGAGAAGCAGCUACUGAAUUGCACGCGAUCGACACAUUGUAUGUGUCUUGA